GACGAACGCUGGCGGCGUGCCUAACACAUGCAAGUCGAACGGAAAGGCCCUGCUCUUGCGGGGUGCUCGAGUGGCGAACGCGUGAGUAACACGUGAGUAACCUGCCCUUGACUUUGGGAUAACAUCACGAAACAGGGGAUAUUAUCCGAUAGAUGUAUCUGCUGCCUGGUGGGGGUAGGAAAGUUUGGGCGGUCGGGGAUGGAUUGGCGGGUUAUCGGCUUGUUAGUGAGGUAGUGGCUUACCAAGGCAUUGACGGGUAGCCGACCUGCGAGGGGGACCGGCGACAAUGGGACUACGGGACGCAGCAGUCUGCUACGGUCGGCAGCAGGGGGGAGUAUGGCGCAGUGGGCGGAAGUGUGAGGCGGCGGCGUUGGGUGCGUGAAGACGUGUUACUGGUGAAGAACCGCUGUCGACUGUAACGAGGCGGGAGUGACGGUAACGAGUAAAGAAGCACCGGCUAACUACGUG
Molecule: ribosomal RNA, 468 nt
Filed under: uncultured bacterium
Lineage: Bacteria
Description: partial 16S ribosomal RNA
Rfam family: Bacterial small subunit ribosomal RNA
Source: RNAcentral